Molecule: ribosomal RNA, 367 nt
Filed under: uncultured organism
Description: bacterial LSU rRNA
Rfam family: Bacterial large subunit ribosomal RNA
Source: RNAcentral
CUUUACUGUAGCCUGGUAUUGGGUUCGGGCUUUGACUGCGCAGGAUAGGUGGGAGACUAUGAAGCUGCCCUUGUGGGGGCAGUGGAGUCAUCAGUGAGAUACCACUCUGUCAAGGCUAGAAUUCUGACCGUCUGCCGUUAUCCGGCGACGGAACAGUAUCAGGUGGGCAGUUUGACUGGGGCGGUCGCCUCCUAAAUGGUAACGGAGGCGCGCAAAGGUUCCCUCAGGCUGGUUGGAAAUCAGCCGAAGAGUGUAAAGGCAGAAGGGAGCUUGACUGCAAGAGCAACAACUCAAGCAGGGACGAAAGUCGGCCUUAGUGAUCCGACGGCGCUGAGUGGAAGGGCCGUCGCUCAACGGAUAAAAGUUA